Metopolophium dirhodum (rose-grain aphid) is the source of this 613-nucleotide long non-coding RNA. RefSeq lists it as uncharacterized. The transcript has 4 exons. The record is from RefSeq and is a predicted model, not a curated record. NCBI's taxonomy places the organism in Eukaryota, Metazoa, Arthropoda, Insecta, Hemiptera, Aphididae.
GAGGCCUUACAGUUGAUGAGUUGAAUUCGCCCAGAAAAGUCUUUGAUACUUAAUAAUGUCUAAUUCACACACACUUAUUUCAUACAAUGGAUUAUUGUUUUCUAAACAGAAAUAUAUGAUGUACCACAUACAAGGAACUAAGAAGUAGAGCCAAUGUAUUGACAAUUUUUCAGACGUCGAACUAUGAAACUUAAAGGUAAUACAUUUUGCUGGGCAAGAAUCCAAUUUUAAUAACGCCGAGGGCCUCAACACAUUUAAAUUGCAAAGAAACACGUAACUAGUCUGGACAUUGGUAUCUUUUCUGAAGGGAAAGCACAUCUGGUUGUAUGCUUUGGACUGGUCGUCAAUCCCAUCUACAACGAGGAAAGAUAAAACUUCUUUGCAAAAAACAGUAUGCAAUUACCAAUAAGCUUCAGUGGCCGUUCUUAAAAUUCUUCACUAUCAACAAUGGACAUAAUUGAUGAAGACUUUUAAAUUAGGUAUAUUCUUAUAUGUGCCUACUUCCUUUAAUUUGUAAUUGUUUUUCCUGUGUUUCCCCCCACCACCCAUCAGAAGGAUUAAUUAGUUACUUUAUUUUUCCAAAAAAAAACUAUACCUAUGCACUCUGGAGUUA